Molecule: transfer RNA, 76 nt
Filed under: Phrynosoma platyrhinos (Desert horned lizard)
Lineage: Eukaryota; Metazoa; Chordata; Lepidosauria; Squamata; Phrynosomatidae
Description: tRNA-OTHER
Source: RNAcentral
GCCCUGGUGGCACAGUGGUUAAAUGCAUGUACUGCAGCCAACCGUAAGGUUGCAAGUUCAAUACCAGCCAAGGGCU